AGUGAACGCUGGCGGUAGGCCUAACACAUGCAAGUCGAACGGCAGCACAGUAAGAGCUUGCUCUUACGGGUGGCGAGUGGCGGACGGGUGAGGAAUACAUCGGAAUCUACUUUUUCGUGGGGGAUAACGUAGGGAAACUUACGCUAAUACCGCAUACGACCUACGGGGGAAAGCAGGGGAUCUUCGGACUUUGCGCGAUUGAAUGAGCCGAUGUCGGAUUAGCUAGUUGGCGGGGUAAAGGCCCACCAAGGCGACGAUCCGUAGCUGGUCUGAGAGGAUGAUCAGCCACACUGGAACUGAGACACGGUCCAGACUCCUACGGGAGGCAGCAGUGGGGAAUAUUGCACAAUGGGCGCAAGCCUGAUCCAGCCAUACCGCGUGGGUGAAGAAGGCCUUCGGGUUGUAAAGCCCUUUUGUUGGGAAAGAACAGCAGCAGGUUAAUCCCCCGCUGUUCUGACGGUACCCAAAGAAUAAGCACCGGCUAACUUCGUG
Molecule: ribosomal RNA, 492 nt
Filed under: uncultured bacterium
Lineage: Bacteria
Description: partial 16S ribosomal RNA
Rfam family: Bacterial small subunit ribosomal RNA
Source: RNAcentral